CUGCAGAGCGAGCUCUGGACAGUCUGCAGUGCUGGCCUGGAAUUCCUGUUGGGGGAGCUGCUGCACCGGUCCCUCCCGCGGGGUCAGCAGCCAACUGUUUUGUUAAACAACAGCUGACCUUCAAUGAAACUGCGAAGUAGGCUACAGAUUCAAUCAUCAACACACCCCUUUAGGUCACCCUUCCAGGCCUGCCGUUGUGUGGAUCUGACUCUUUGGGACAAAGCCCUUCCCCAGACAAGAAUCCCAGCCAUGUAAUUCCUCCUCCGGGGUUCCUGCAACCCACGCACUCCCUGCUCCUACCCUCACUGGCUCACCCCUGCUCUGCUCACCCUCCUCUACACACCUGUUGCCAGAUACCAGUGUCAGAUCAUAUACCCUCAGCAGUCGCUGCUGGCCCUCCAGGAGCUGAAGAUGAUUGGUAUCGUUGAGACCACCGUGUCCAAGUUGAGCCUCCUUGGGGCACCUGGGUGACUCAGUCCAUUGAGCGUCGACUUCAGCUCAGGUCAUAAAAUCACACUUCGUGGGU
Molecule: long non-coding RNA, 526 nt
Organism: Suricata suricatta (meerkat)
Lineage: Eukaryota; Metazoa; Chordata; Mammalia; Carnivora; Herpestidae
Exons: 3
Source: RefSeq, a predicted model, not a curated record